This 198-nucleotide ribosomal RNA is filed under the name uncultured prokaryote. RNAcentral's name for it is "partial 16S ribosomal RNA". It matches the Rfam family "Bacterial small subunit ribosomal RNA", at positions 525 to 722 of the family's 1533-position model. The record is from RNAcentral.
ACAGAGGAGCCAAGCGUUGUCCGGAGUAACUGGGCGUAAAGCGCACGCAGGCGGUCGUGCACGUGGGGUGUGAAAGCGCUGGGCUUAACUCAGCGAGGUCACCUCAUACGGCACGGCUCGAGCCCGUGAGAGGUCCAUGGAAUUGCCGGUGUAGUGGUGAAAUGCGUAGAGAUCGGCAGGAACACCCAGGGGGAAACC